RNAcentral lists this long non-coding RNA (839 nucleotides) under Mus spicilegus (steppe mouse). RNAcentral describes it as "lncRNA (ENSMSIG00000023601.1)". Lineage: Eukaryota; Metazoa; Chordata; Mammalia; Rodentia; Muridae. The record is from RNAcentral.
AUGCAGAGACAGUCUACUAAGAAUGCUAAAGGGACUCCAGCAUCACCGCCCGCCCCCUUGCCGAUGAUGAGCAUACAUCCUACCACAAAGGGGAUGUGUAGGCUGGGGGGUGGGGGUGACACUCAUCAACAGUCUCACCAAGCUACAGAAAACGUGAAUACCACUCUACUGCUCCAACAAACAAGAUUUGAAAGACAUCUCUACAAGAACAUCUUGGAGUUCAUUUGUCACCUAUCCUUUUAAGAAUAGCAUAGAGAUACUGAAAACACCCAAGAUUUUAUCGUAUCCAUAGAAACCAAACACACUGAAAGCCAAUAGCAGGAAGUAACAGACAACCAUCAGAAGCUAUCCCUGUGAGUAGUCUGGAUAAGUAACUGUACUGCAACAAUUUCUCUUAGGACUCUGGUAAAUGGCACCUCAAUUUCCUAAGUAGACUGGCAGGGAUUUUUGCUCCCCUAUCUUCUUUCUCUUCUACUUCCCCACCCCCUCUCAGGAAGUGAACUGGGGGAAAUCCAAAGAGUGCAGCUUCACUUCUCCAUGUAACAUUUGCUGGAGUUGUUUUGGUGUCUACACAAGGAUUCCCUUCUGCACAUUGGUUAAUGGUUUAGUUCUUUAUACCCACUUCUUACUUUCUUCCUCUAUUUCAUAUCACAAGACCAUUAAGAAGUUAGACUUUAUGUAUAAUUCUAUCAAAAACUGUUUUUUCUUUCCGAAAGUUGAAAGACAUCUCUAACAGAACAUUUUGGAGUUUAUUUAUCUCCUAUUCUUUUCAGAAUAGCAUAGAGAUACUGAAGACACCCAAGAUUUUUUUUUUUGCUUUUGAAUUUUUAUUAGAUAAU